RNAcentral lists this ribosomal RNA (473 nucleotides) under uncultured bacterium. RNAcentral describes it as "partial 16S ribosomal RNA". It matches the Rfam family "Bacterial small subunit ribosomal RNA", at positions 28 to 507 of the family's 1533-position model. The record is from RNAcentral.
GAUGAACGCUAGCGGCAGGCCUAAUACAUGCAAGUCGAACGGGUGGUCGCAAGACCACUAGUGGCGCACGGGUGCGUAACGCGUAACCGACCUGCCCCGAUCUGGGGGAUAGCCCGCCGAAAGGCGGAUUAAUACCGCAUAUACCCGCAGCCUGGCAUCAGGCAACGGGGAAAGAUUUAUUGGAUCGGGAUGGGGUUGCGUGACAUUAGCUAGUUGGCGGGGUAAGGGCCCACCAAGGCGACGAUGUCUAGGGGACCUGAGAGGGUGAUCCCCCACACUGGCACUGAGAUACGGGCCAGACUCCUACGGGAGGCAGCAGUAGGGAAUGUUGGGCAAUGGGCGAGAGCCUGACCCAGCCAUGCCGCGUGCCGGAUGAAGGCCUUCUGGGUUGUAAACGGCUUUUCUCAGGGAAGAAAAAGACCUUGCGAGGUACACUGACGGUACCUGAGGAAUAAGCACCGGCUAACUCCGUG